AAAAGGAGAAGAGGAAUCAUGCCUUGAUGCAUUGAUCUUUCUUUUUUCUUUAUGCUUCAACAGACCCUCCACUCCAGUCCAGGAAGAGAAAGCCUUAGAAUUGUGUGGGAUAGUCUCCGAAGCACAUAAUCAAAAGCGCUGAAAUUCUGCCUCUGUAUGGACUUAUGAUUCCUGGUGGUUAAGGACCACCCAAAAGAAAAAUUUCUGAAGUUCU
RNAcentral lists this long non-coding RNA (214 nucleotides) under Lynx canadensis (Canada lynx). Its description in RNAcentral is "lncRNA (ENSLCNG00005009910.1)". Lineage: Eukaryota; Metazoa; Chordata; Mammalia; Carnivora; Felidae. The record is from RNAcentral.